This 71-nucleotide transfer RNA is filed under the name Uronema marinum. RNAcentral describes it as "tRNA-Trp". It matches the Rfam family "tRNA". Rfam says of the family: Transfer RNA (tRNA) molecules are approximately 80 nucleotides in length. Their secondary structure includes four short double-helical elements and three loops (D, anti-codon, and T loops). The record is from RNAcentral. Lineage: Eukaryota; Ciliophora; Oligohymenophorea; Philasterida; Uronematidae.
GGAGAAAUAGUUUAGUGGUAGAACAGCAGUCUUCAAAAUUGCUAGUGUGGGUUCGAUUCCUGCUUUCUUCG